Molecule: ribosomal RNA, 471 nt
Filed under: uncultured bacterium
Lineage: Bacteria
Description: partial 16S ribosomal RNA
Rfam family: Bacterial small subunit ribosomal RNA
Source: RNAcentral
GACGAACGCUGGCGGCGUGCUUAACACAUGCAAGUCGAACGAUGAAGCGGUGCUUGCACCGUGGAUUAGUGGCGAACGGGUGAGUAAUACGUGAGUGACCUACCUUUGACUCUGGGAUAAGCCUGGGAAACUGGGUCUAAUACCGGAUACGACCAAUCUCUGCAUGGGGUGUUGGUGGAAAGCGUUAUGGAGUGGUUUUAGAUGGGCUCACGGCCUAUCAGCUUGUUGGUGAGGUAAUGGCUUACCAAGGCGACGACGGGUAGCCGGCCUGAGAGGGUGACCGGCCACACUGGGACUGAGAACAGGCCCAGACUCCUACGGGAGGCAGCAGUGGGGAAUAUUGCACCAUGGGCGCAAGCCUGAUGCAGCGACGCCGCGUGAGGGAUGACGGCCUUCGGGUUGUAAACCUCUGUUAGCAUCGAAGAAGCGAAAGUGACGGUAGGUGCAGAGAAAGCGCCGGCUAACUACGUG